RNAcentral lists this ribosomal RNA (693 nucleotides) under Triticum aestivum (bread wheat). Its description in RNAcentral is "partial small subunit ribosomal RNA". The record is from RNAcentral. Lineage: Eukaryota; Viridiplantae; Streptophyta; Magnoliopsida; Poales; Poaceae.
AUGGCGCGUACAGCAAAGGAUCUGAAAACCUGGAGUUCCUCACUCUUUAGCGACGCCAAGAUCCAAUUCCACAUAGCAACAGAGAUCAUCCUACGUCUAGACAUAGCCCAAGAAUCCCGCAGCCUCUCCACGCCGGAAUUCAAUCUUCGACGACUCCUCAAGCAAAGGUUGCUCAGCCUUGCGGCGAUCGAGCACGCGCGCAAGCGCCAAGCUUCCAGGCUGACCUGGAUCAAGCUGGGCGAUGCAGGAACCAAGUUCUUUCAUGCAAAGAUCCGUUCGAGACGUAGAAAGAACUUCAUUCACAACCUAAGGACUGGAAACGGAAUCGUCACAUCACACGAGGACAAGGAAGCAGUCAUCUUCGAGCAUUUCAACUCCGUCCUCGGCUCCAAAGGAGAUUGCCGUAGGGCCAUCAACUGGAGCCAGCUACAGCUGCCCACUCUUCGAGGAGGGGGCCUCGACAACCCCUUCUCCGAGGAAGAAGUGUGGGAGGCGAUCAAGGCCUCGCCGGCAGAAAAAGCUCCGGGCCCGGACGAAUUCAUUGGAAUUUUCUUCCGUAGUUGUUGGCAAACAAUCAAGCAAGACAUCAUGAGAGCUUUCUACCAAUUCUACUCCGGCGAUGGUCUUGAUGCUCUUAACUCUUGCCAUGGUAGUUUUGAUCCCGAAGAAAGAUGGCGCAGAAACAAUCUCUGA